This 71-nucleotide transfer RNA is filed under the name Marmota monax (woodchuck). RNAcentral's name for it is "tRNA.Ala". It matches the Rfam family "tRNA". Rfam says of the family: Transfer RNA (tRNA) molecules are approximately 80 nucleotides in length. Their secondary structure includes four short double-helical elements and three loops (D, anti-codon, and T loops). The record is from RNAcentral. Lineage: Eukaryota; Metazoa; Chordata; Mammalia; Rodentia; Sciuridae.
GGGGUUGUGGCUCAGUGGUAGAGCGCUUGCCUAGCAUGUGUGAGGCACUGGGUUCAAUUCCCAGCACCACA